GAGAAAGAGAGGGAGGGAGGGAGGAGGCUAAUGACGUUGACAGCCUUAUCGCCACCUCUCAUCUGUUCUCUCUCGCUACUGCGAGCACAAGCAGUAAAGGUAUUCCCAAACUAUUGGAGAAAGACAGCUUGUGGAUCCAGAUUCCUGGGGCAAAUGCCUCCUUGACUGCUGCUGUGGUGGGCGGAAAGACACAAGUGUAGGGUAGAGUAGAGGUGCCAUAAAAAUGCACAAACACAGCGCAAGUACUGUCAAUCCUGUGACAAGUUCCUUUAAAAACUGAUGCGGAGGCUUUUCCAUACCAAAGGUUUCAAUGAGAAAAAAAGUGCUGAUGAUAACUAGCUGCUAAUAAUAAGCCAUCAGAACGAUUGCAUAGUAAGAUAGCGUCGAUAUGUCUGGAAAAAGCCAUUCUUUGCUAUCUUGUGUCCUUUUAGAACCCAUUUGCCUUGCGAGACAAAAAAUAAUCAUCAAUUAUAUUUUCCAAAGCUAAACGGACUGAUUGAUAUUGAGUCUUCUUUGCAUGCUAAUUAUCUGUAGCUUGUUAAAUAAUUCAGUGGAAUGCAGAGUAGUUACUGAAACAUAGUUACCAAAUCUUGUGCCUAAAAGAAUGUGUAGAACUUCAACUGUCUGUAAAGGAGACUUAGAGAAGAUUAACAAAGUGAAAAGGGAGUUCAGAUUCCCACCAACACCAUACACAAACAUCCAGUCCAUUUUUUCCUGUGAGUUGUGAAGGGGAAUAAGGUGCAUGGCAGCGCAGGCUGUCAGAGAUAAUGAUCCUCUUUGCUUUCCCAUUAUCCCCUCGCUACAGCUGGAUGCACACUACUCAUUUACUGCCCCCCCCCCACACACACACACACACCCUCGUCCUUCCUCUCCCUCUCUAGCUGCGAGGGUAAUAGGGUCUUGUACCCAAUCAUCUUUACGGCGUGUGUCCGUGUGUCAUUGCUGCAGGAGGCACAGCGGUAGGAGUCUGUUCUGUGGCCAGAGGUUAGCUGUCACAAGCUGCUGUCCCCUCGUGUUGACGGAGGGUAAUAGAGGCUACGUCCCAAAUGGUACCUUAUUCCCCAUUUAGGGCACUUCUUUUGACCAAGGCCCUUAGGGCACUACAUAGGGAAGGAAGGGUUCCACAAAAAGUGGUGAUUUUAUUUGGCUCCCCAAGUAUUCUGAGAAAAAAAUAUAAAUCAUUUCAUAGUUGGAAAUAAAGAUGGUAAAAUCAUCAGAAAAUCAGAAAAUAAUUCCCUGCAUUCCCACACAUACUGGGCACAAUGGAAAAACAAUGUCAGAUUUUGGGUUUAGUAGUCAUCUAAAUGCAAUAUAGUAUCAUUGAUGGCACAGUGCAUUCGGAAAGUAUUCAGACCCCAUUACUUUUUCCGCAUUACAGCCUUAUUCUAAAAUGUAUACAAUUAUUUUUUCCCUCAUCAAUCUACACACAAUACCCCAUAAUGACAAAUCAAAAACAGGCUUUUAGAUAUUUUUGCAAAUUUUUUUUUUUUUUUUUAAGAAAAAAAUGAAAUAUCACAUUUACAUAAGUAUUCAGACCCUUUUCUCCGUACUUUGUUGAAGCACCUUUGGCAGCGAUUACAGCCUCGACUCUUCUUGGGUAUGACGCUACAAGCUUGGCACACCUGUAUUUGGGGAAGUUCUCGCAUUCUUCUCUGCAGAUCCUCUCAUGCUCUGUUAGGUUGGAUGGGGAGCGUUGCUGCACAGCUAUUUUCAGGUCUCUCCACAGAUGUUCAAAUCGGGUUCAAGUCCGGGCUCUAGCUGGCCCACUCAAGGACAUUCAGAGACUUGUCCCGAAGCCACUCCUGCAUUGUCUUAGCUGUGUGCUUAGGGUUGUUGGGCUGUUGCAAGUUAAACCUCUGCCCCAGUCUGAGGUCCUGAGCGCUCUGGAGCAGGUUUUCAUCAAGGAUCUCUCUGUACUUUGCUCCGUUCAUCUUUGCCUUGAUCCUGACUAGUCUCCCAGUCCAUGUUGCUGAAAAACAUAACCACAGCAUGAUGCUGCCACCACUAUGCUUCACCGUAGGGAUGAUACCAGGUUUUCUCCAGAUGUGACGCUUGGCAUUCAGCCAAAGAGUUCAAUCUUGGUUUCAUCUGACCAGAGAAUCUUGUUUCUCAUGGUCAGUUCUUUAGGUGCCUUUUGGAAGGUUCUCCCAUCUCUAGAGCUGUCAGUCUGUCAGUCUGUCAGUCCUUCUCCCCCGAUUGCUGAGUUUGGCCGAGCGGCCAGCUCUACGAAGAGACUUGGUGGUACCCUUCCCCAGAUCUGUGCCUCGACACAUUCCUGUCUCGGAAGUCCACGGACAAUUCCUUCGACCUCAUGGCUUGGUUUUUGCUCUGACAUGCACUGUCAAAUGUGGGACCUAAGAUAGACAGGUGUGUGCCUUUCCAAAUCAUGUCCGAUCAAUUGAAUUUACCACAGGUGGACUCCAAUCAAGUUCUAGAAACGUCUCAAGGAUGAUCAAUGGAAACAGGAUGCACCUGAGCUCAAUUUCGAGUCUCAAAGCAAAGAGUCUGAAUACAUAUGUAAAUUACAUAUUUUUGUUUUUUAUUUUUAAUAAAUUAGCAAACAUUUCUAAAACCCUGUUUUUGCUUUGUCAUUACGGGGUAUUGUGUGUAGAUUGCUGAGGAAUUGUUUUUAUUUAAUCAAUUUUAGAAUAAGGUUGUAACAUAACAAAAUCUGAAAAAAGUCAAGGGGUCUGAAAACUUUCCGAAGGCACUGUAUAUGACUUAUAAAGUAAGGUUACAUCUUAUUUGCUCUGUUAAACCUACCCUUAGGAACGACUUUGCUAGCAACCUUGAAUAUAUGUCGUUAUUAAGAGUUCUCCCAAUAAUCAUUUUCACGGUAGCACAUUGGUAGUAGUCAGUGACAAACAUCAAAGCUAAGCAUGGCUUGGCUUGGUUAAAACCCAGGAUGGGAGACCAAAUGAAUAGCUGUUGAUAGAUCAACUGUCCAGUAGGAGGUGCUGCCCAGACUAUAGUUGAUUUUUUAUAAACAUUGAAGAUCUGAUGUUAUUUCAAAAGGUACAAAUUCAACAUAUUUUAUACAAGGUUUGUCUAUGUUGAAAGUUGGUUACAGUGAAUACAUAAUCCUGUGGUUGAAAGCUGACAUAUGGAGUUGUUUUAAGAUCGCCAUACCAUGGAUCAUUUGGCUAUUUUAUUAUGAAUUUUAGGACCCCUUCAGGCAACAAUGAUUUACUUAGAUUUUUUAAUAUAAAAUAUUGAGUUGAAAAUAAUGUGCUGAGUAGAACAUAGAACAUUGAUCUCAGGCAUGAGUAGGUCUAGAUGGCAGGGCUGCUCUUGUUUUGGAAAAGAGACAUUGUGGCUACCUUUCUCCAGCGAUUUCAGAUUUAAAAAAAAUGUGUUGUGUGUUUGCCUCACAUGUCAGCACAUACAGUUGAAGUUAGAAGUUUACAUACACUUAGCUUGGAGUCAUUAAAACUCAUUUUCCAACCACUCCACAAAUUUCUUGUAACAAACUAUAGUUUUUGCAAGUCAGUUAGGACAUCUACUUUGUGCAUGACACAAGUAAUUUUUCCAAAAAUUGUUUCCCGACAGAUUAUUUCACUUAUAAUUCACUGUAUCACAAUUCCAGUGGGUAGAGGUUUACAUCCACUAAGUUGACUGUGCCUUUAAAUAGCUUGGAAAAUUCCAGAAAAUGAUGUCAUGGCUUUAGAAGCUUCUGAUAGGCUAAUUGACAUCAUUUGAGUCAAUUGGAGGUGUACCUGUGGAUGUAUUUCAAGGCCUACCUUGAAACUCAGUGCCUCUUUGCUUAAGGGGGACAAAGAUAGUACUUUUUGGAGAAAAGGGUCUCCCAAAUGGACAAUGACCCCAAGCAUACUUGCAAAGUUGUGGACAAAUGGCUUAAGGACAACAAAGUCAAGGUAUUGGAGUGGCCAUCACAAAGCCCUGACCUCAAUCCUAUAAAAAAUGUGUGGGCAGAACUGAAAAGCGUGCGCGAGCAAGGAGGCCUACAAACCUGACUCAGUUACACCAGCUCUGACAGGAGGAAUGGGCCAAAAUUCACCCAACUUAUUGUGGGAAGCUUGUGGAAGGCUACCUGAAACAUUUGACCCAAGUUAAACAAUGUAAAGGCAAUGCUACCAAACACUAAUUGAGUAUGUAAACUUUUGACCCACUGGGAAUGAGAUGAAAGAAAUAAAAGCUGAAAUAAAUCAUUUUCUCUACUAUUAUUCUGACAUUUCACAUUCUUAAAAUAAUGUGGUGAUCCUACCUGACCUAAGACAGAAUUUUUACAAGGAUAAACUUUUAGGAAUUGUGAAAAACUGAGUUUAAUUUUAUUUGGCUAAGGUGUAUGUAAACUUCCAACUUCAAUUGUAUUAUGCUCAGUUUUUCUUACUUGUAUGGAAGAUAACAAAAAUAACUACAAGGGCUCCACUGGGAAAAGGUGAAAUAAUUGUAGUGUUUAUUUUCACAAAGUUCACAAAGACUUUCCCAAGCAAUGUUCAUAAAUUUGGUUCUGCCUGUGAUCAGAGGAAAGUCUAAGUACAGUUGAUGUCUCAGAGAACCAAGACUUUACUGUGCUCUCUUAUCGAUGUUCAUGUUUUCAACAUGGAAUACAAAUAUCUAGAUUCGAGAAUAAGGUUAAAAAGAAAUGUACCUGAUAAUGCUUAUGCUUUGCAUUUUAAAAGAGGUCAUGUGCACUUGUUGAUAAAAUAUGGUUUAUAUAUACUUUUUUGUCUUUGAGAAUGGCUUGUUUUAUUAUGAUUCAGGACAUAACUUUAUUAAUGAGUGAAUUUACUGUGGAUAUCAGGUUCUCAUUAAAACGCAUGUUUCCACGUGAUUGUCAAUCCACAAGUCAGUUAAACUUUAGUAUGUUUUUGAUGGUUAAUUGCUCAAAAAUGAUUUGUUAAGCUGCCAACAAAUGUUUUUGUUCAGCUGUCAACUUGUUCCAUAAUGGAUGUCAGACCGAGAGUGUUGCUUACUACAAUGAAGAUAAAUGGAACAUGCAUAACUGCAACAAAACAUCAUGAUUGCAAUAUUCUAUACUCUUUGAAAAAAAGAUUACAGAAGGCUUGUUUGGCUGUCCCUAUAGGAGUGCCCUUUGUGGUUGUAGGUAAAAGCCUUUUUGUUUCCAGGUAGAACCAUUUUACCUUCCAUGUAGAACCCUCUGUGGAAAGAGUUCUACAUGGAUCCCAAAACAGUUCUACUUGGAGCCAAAAUGAUUCUACCUGGAACCAACUAGGAUUCUUCAAAGGGUUCUCCUAUGGGGACAACCGAAUAUCCCUUUUAGGUUCUAGAUAGCACCACUUUUUCCCCAAGAGUGUAGUCUGCCUCUCUCUCUCUCUCCAACAAUGGAUGUGUAAAGGGACUUAGUAUGCACAAUGCUGUCUUCAGUCCACAAGUGGCAACAAAGCAAACGCCUGUUACUGUGCAAAACAACUAAAGUUGUUGCUUUUUCUCUAUAAAAUAAUGUAAAUAUAUCUGUAAGUGAAAAUACUGAAACAUAUCUUUUUAUUUCAUUUUAAAUAAUGCAUUCUUUUGACAUUUGAUAACAUGACAAAAGGAUGUGAUCUAAAUUAAAACAUCUAUUUUCCUCUUCUUUCCUAGUGGCUUUAAUAGCUUGACUCUCCUAGUUUCCCCGAUCAGAAAACAUGCACAUAAUCAGAUUCUGUAAAACUUGAUCUUCCCUUCCGUUAAUGCUGCUCUUUGUUGUCUGUCCGUGCUCUGACUUCCAACACCUCCAGAUAAUAGGAGGACUGUCAGGCGGUGGGCUCUGCUGGGACUGGGAGUCAGGCUUGUCCAAGCGAAAAUCUACAUACUCUUAGAGUGGGUUCAAUCAGGCAUCAAAUUAGCCCAAUGCACACACAGCUGAGCACUGUGACACACACACACACACACACACACACACACACACACACACACACACACACACAGUGUUUAUGUUCAUCAUCUUGCUGGGUGAAAUGCCACUCUAAUUAAUCAAAUGACCCUCAUUUUGUGCCACAAGGGUACAUUUAGUCCCCCCCAGACACAUAUCUUCAGUGGCUUUAGUCCCCCAUCCCAGGUACAUCUCUUCAGUGGCUUUAGUCCCCCCAUCCCAGACACAUCUCUUCAGUGGCUUUAGUCCCCCCUCCCUCAGAUACAUCUCUUCAGUGGCUUUAGUCCCCCCUCCUCCCUCAGAUACAUCUCUUCAGUGGCUUUAACCCCCCUCCCC
Molecule: long non-coding RNA, 6169 nt
Organism: Oncorhynchus tshawytscha (Chinook salmon)
Lineage: Eukaryota; Metazoa; Chordata; Actinopteri; Salmoniformes; Salmonidae
Source: Ensembl